Molecule: long non-coding RNA, 562 nt
Organism: Cucumis sativus (cucumber)
Lineage: Eukaryota; Viridiplantae; Streptophyta; Magnoliopsida; Cucurbitales; Cucurbitaceae
Exons: 3
Source: RefSeq, a predicted model, not a curated record
UCUCCACCGUCAGAUCGGUUUUCGAUUCCAAAUCCUGAAGAGCCCGCUUCCACCUAGGCCUCCCUCUUCUAACCCGACCGUUCCUGAGAGUUCGCUAUCACAUACUGCUUUUUUUACCUGUGUUGUUGAAUCCCGAUCCAAGAGACUGGCAGAUGGUUUAAGUAGCUGGUUCCGGAGGCAGAAGCUAACAGGUGCAGCUGGGGAGCGCUUGAAGGAAGCACGCAAUAUCAACCGACCACUCUCACAACUCGGAUCGGAAUGAUGUUGCUCAUCUGAAAGAAGGCAGCAUCAUGUGCUUGAAGACUUGUAGAGUAUGGAGAGUGAAUGGUCAAAUUUGAGGAAUCGUAUCUGCUAGCUUUGUAGUCCAAACAGGUUGUCUGGCUAACUUUCUUUUUCUCAUUUUCAACCAAUUAGGAUAGCUGUCAUGUUUUUUGAAUUCCUUGCCAUUCUUGAGUAGUAACUUGGCAUUUGUUUAUUAAAAGGUUUUAAUUAAGAUUAUGGUGUUCAUAACUUUGUAGUCACACUAAAUAACUUAAAAGAGUUAGUUUGACAGUUGACAAAC